RNAcentral lists this ribosomal RNA (321 nucleotides) under Triticum aestivum (bread wheat). Its description in RNAcentral is "partial small subunit ribosomal RNA". Lineage: Eukaryota; Viridiplantae; Streptophyta; Magnoliopsida; Poales; Poaceae. The record is from RNAcentral.
AUGGCCCCAUCAAAAUGCAGAGUCCGGGCCUCAUUCUGGAUUGCCAACGGAGUCAACGGCGAAGUGCGCAACCAAUGGGUCUUGUGCUCUCGGAUGCUUCGGAGUUCAUGCUCCAGAUCAAAGUGGUUGGAGUCCAUGGAAGCCAACAAAUGGACAUAUGACUUUUCUUUGCCCAAGCAACAAGACAAGCUGGUGGCACUGGUUUGCAGGACAUUGUCGGUUCAUGAAUUUUAUCGUUUGCGCUUUGAUGUGCUAGCACGAGUGGCUCCUCGCCGACACGCGAAACAGUGGCUUCUUCCAGCGGCCGAAGCAGCCGCGUAG